Molecule: long non-coding RNA, 1478 nt
Organism: Mauremys mutica (yellowpond turtle)
Lineage: Eukaryota; Metazoa; Chordata; Testudines; Geoemydidae
Exons: 4
Source: RefSeq, a predicted model, not a curated record
GUAGAAUUCUGUGCCAGUCACAAGUGUCAUUGUGAUUCACCUAAAGAUGUUCUGCUGAAGAUCACCCAUCUACAUAUUGCUGAAUGGAGAGGAUUGGACACCUAUGAAGAUGAAUCAACCACAUUCAUGCUGUUGUUGAAUAUGAAGAACCAGCAUAAAAUAUGCUUACAGCAAUGGGAGGCAAUUCAAGAGGAAAUAGACUCAGAUGGAGUUCCCAUGGAAGAGGAAAACCAAACCACUAAAAAUGCUCACCCACCUUGCUAAUCCCACUGCAUUGCCAGAAAAUCCAUCCGCUGUGUCCAGCAAGCAGAUGUGAAAGACACAAGGAAAGAAAGUCACACCACAACUUCAUUUUGUUCCUGGAACUUUACGAUGAGCACUGCAAGCCACUUGCCUCUCAAUUGCAAAGGGACACAACACGGUGUUUGUGUAGCCACUGAACCUGAUCCUUCACCCACUUCUGGUUCUCCUAGUUUCUGCAGCAUGGAUCGGAGCAGUGGGAGGACAGAUACCAGGCACCAGGUCCUAUUUUCAUCAUCCAUGAGCAGAUGAGAAGCUUUGGAGUCUUACAUUUGAACAACUUUGAAACCUCGCUGACUCCUGCUGGAGUAUAACAUUGAAGGCAUGAAGAUCUUGAGAUACCUGCAGAGGUAUGUUUGAUUUGCAGCGUUGGUCCUGGAGGAAAGCGUGCUGUGAAAGUGCUCUGUACAAAGAAGCUGAAGAACUGCCAGAAGAAGUCACCUUUCUAUUUUCUAAUGCUAACACAGUUGCAAAUGGUCUGAGGUGCUCAACCUGGAGCACCCUUGAUUUAAAGAAAGGAGUGAGCUGCUCACAAGGCAUAUGGCAUUCUGCAUGGAGCAUCUUUGACUUCGGAGCUUACUCCCCUACUUGGUCUGCCUGAUUCUGGAUUUGUUAACUUUCCAGUGAACAUAAAGCUGCAACUGGAUUCCUGUAUGGGGUUAAGAAACAAAAAAACGCUAGAGAUAUCAAACUGAAAACUGUCUUACUAGUUUAUCUUGUGCCGGAAAUCCUAGGUUUACUUCACUAUGCUGUCCUGUGUUGGCUGGCCAGGUCCAGAAGCAGCAUUCCGCCAAAUGCAGCUGAUCAAGGAAUGCGUCAUGCAGGAGCAUCUGCUGGUAUCUCUCCUCCUUCUCUCAGAGUAGCUGUGCAGAAUCACAGUGGUAAGCCACAGUCUCACUUAAAGCUGCCUGGCUGCUCAGCUGCCAACAUCUACCAAAUAAUGCAGACAGGAGGAUCCUGGACAAGCCUGUGAAGCUUAGCAGUGCUUCCUCCAUGCUACCUGACAGCUCUUUGAAAAUGAAUCAGCCAACAAGAACCCAAUGAAUUAUAGGAUGCAGCAGGAAGAAUAAUGGGAGCUUGACCCAGAAUACUAAUUUUCUACCCAGUACUGGCAGGUAUCCCACAAUCCACUGUGAAAAGCAUUGAGAAUGUAUAAAGCCUAUUAGCAGUGCUUUGAA